GGGUUGGUAGACUAGCUUGAAUAAGUAAAUUUCAUUACCGAGCAAUCCAAGUUUCCGAGGAGGCAACGAGGUUAUUAGUUGAUAGCGCUAUUAGGUUUGGCACCCUCACACCGUACCAGGGUGGUCGGGCGUGAACUAAUUUCCUUAAAGCAUGACCAAUGUUUUGAUAGAGACAUUGGGGUUGGGCAAACACAUCUUGUAGCCAUUUCGGUCGUUAGCUGUUUGCAUUGGAACUUGCUGUCUGGAGUAGCUGGAGUGGUCAUGGGUCGACUGGAAGGAUUCAUGUGAUUGAUUAUUGACAGUAUACAUUGGUUUUGAACAAUUUAACUUUGGUUUACUAUUCGCUUCCGCUGAACAUGUUGUGGCUCGUUAUUGGUAUGUCACACGCCUAACAAGGACAUUCCCUAGGUGGUAUUUUGGGGGUGUGACAACCAGGAGAAUCAUCAGGAAGCUGUAGUAUUAUCUACGUCAGCAAUGUGAGUACAUCUUACUUUUUGUCACCUUUUUUGUGAGUAAAAUAUUUUACAAAACCCUAAAUAUUUAUCAAGACACUUACAGUGAUUAAGUUUUUGUAAUUCUACAAUUAUCAUCAGUAUGUAGAGUUUUGUAUACAUUACUUGACACUCGUUACUAUUGCGAAUAGUAGCAUGACCGCAAGCACGGGGGACAAAGGUUGCCCGGUAGCAAUACUGUAUUGAAUAAUUGGAUAGAUAUAAACAUUGUAAAUCUUAAUACUGUAAAGUUGUAAAAUUGUUUUGAUUAAAGAGGGAUGCACUCGCCAGUAUUUCUUGCUGAUAAAAUCUUUUUAGAACGCGUUUUAGGUAACUUAAUAUGAACCUAAUAGAAGCCAGCUGGAGAGCACUAAAGGCUUAAAGAUGUGGCUAUAAAAGUUACCUAAAUAAAAAGGAGAUUUUGUUUUUAAUAAAUUAGGGUUAUCCCUAUAAAUGUGUUGUAUUUGAAACUUGGAUUUUAUCCUGUUUAUUUAUUUUAAAAGUUUGGUGUUUUAAAAUCUGAUAAAAUAUUUCCUAACUACAGUCCUGAUGUUUAAAUUCCGCUGCCAAAUUAAUAAACACCAAUACCACUUUCUCUGAGUCUCGCGGCACCCGCUCCCGGGGUAGGGGUCGGGGGUUGUGACAUUUAGCUUCCGAAAAGCAUCCUUAAAGCUCUGGGUACCUGCAAAUCAAACCACUCUCAAAGUAAACUGGUUUCACACGAUAACACACUAAAAACCACAUAAUUUCAUACGUUAAAAACAAGACAAAUACCCUCAUAUCACAACAUGUUCUUACAUUUACAUUAUAUAAUUUUUAGUCUCGAAAACUGUGUGUGCUAUCAUGUACCAGUUGCAGGGAUUUCCUCAGUUUCGGGGCCUUACAAUAUUAUAUUUAACAUCAAGUGAAUUUA
This 1404-nucleotide long non-coding RNA is filed under the name Helianthus annuus (common sunflower). RNAcentral describes it as "hypothetical non coding rna". Lineage: Eukaryota; Viridiplantae; Streptophyta; Magnoliopsida; Asterales; Asteraceae. The record is from RNAcentral.